Molecule: non-coding RNA, 124 nt
Filed under: Curvibacter sp.
Lineage: Bacteria; Pseudomonadati; Pseudomonadota; Betaproteobacteria; Burkholderiales; Comamonadaceae
Description: Glycine sequence
Rfam family: Glycine riboswitch aptamer
About the family: This family represents the bacterial glycine riboswitch. Glycine riboswitches usually consist of two metabolite-binding aptamers domains with similar structures in tandem.
Source: RNAcentral
CGACACCCCACUGGAGAGAGGCCGCAAACUUUGCAGCCCACCGAAGGAGCAACCCGCAGUCUGCGCACCCCUCGUGCAUGCAGGCCCGGCGAAUCUCUCAGGUAAAGCGGACAGCGGGGGCAGC